UGCAGGGGGAGGGAUGCAGAUGGCUGAAGGGGUACCUGUGAAGAGGGGUUUCUCUCCCUUCUUUAGAAGGGACUGGAUGGGAUCAGGGUGUGUGCUAGACACAGGAAAGAGACAUGAAAGUAAUGGAUACACUUGUCCCAGUAGGAACUGGGUGAUGAAACAGAAUAUGGAGGUUCCUCUAGUGCACUGUAAAGUUGAGAAAUUAUGUGAAGUCAUCCAAACAGCCUCUCAUCACUAUGCUGAUUCCUGGAAGAUGUAAAUUGUAAGACAAAGUCUCUCCUUAAAAGGAUUAGGCACUGAGGUAGAGGAGGCAUGAAUAUAAAGGAAAGGUAAAUUUAAAAGAGGGAAAGUCACGGCAUGAAGACAAAAAUACAGUGGAAGUCUCUCUAGCAAUGCCAGAGAGGCCAUGUGGAAAAGAGGGGGGAGGUUCUGGAAUCAGACAGAACAAGGUUCAAAUCCCAAAUUCAGAUAUGCUACUUCUACAUUUGUGACCUUAGGAAGUCCUCCAACCUCUCUGAGCCUUAGUGUCCACAUUUACAAAUAGCACCUAUUCCAUAUUUAUUUGUACAUAGGGGUUGUCCUAAGAGUUAAGUAGCAGACUGGUAUAAAAUUCUUAGGUUCAGUAUUUAGGGCACAAUAAGUGGCUUAAUAAAAGUUUGGUGGAUGAUGAUGGUGGUGGUGGUACAAGCAGGUACAGGGUGAUUAGUGGUAUUUAGGGUUGAAAGGUGAAAGAGAUUAGUGCAGGUGGAAUUGUUCAGGUAGACUCUACUCUGGGACCAGAAGGGACAGAUGUGGGUGGAGAGGCGUGGGGAGAGCAUUCAGCUGGGGGAUGGCAGGGGCUAGUAUGAAGUACUGUGUACUGGAAAGCAAGGGACCUGUCUGGGGAAGCACGAGUAGAAUAGAAUGUGGGUUGUAAAACUAUUUCAACUAUUUCAGUUCUUUUUUACCUUUUUUUUAUCAUUUUAUUAAAAUUUUCCCAUCUUCAAAAUAUAGAAAGAAUAGCCACCAUAAACUUAUUACUGAGAUUCAGACAUCCAACCAUAAUCGAUAUUUUACCCUAUUUGCUCCAUAUAUAUGUACAUUGCUGAUUUAAGUACAUAUAUCAUUAUAUAUUAUAUAUAUUUAUAUAUAUUUAUUUAUAAAAUUGCUGAAUCAGGGGCGCCUGGGUGGCUCAGUGGGUUAAAACCUCUGCCUUUGGCUCAGGUCGUGAUCCCAGGGUCCUGGGAUCGAGCCCCACAUUGGGCUCUCUGCUCAGCGGGGAGCCUGCUUCCUCCUCUCUCUCUCUCUCUGCCUGCCUCCCUGCCUACUUGUGAUCUCUGUCUGUCAAAUAAUAAAAAAAAAAGAAAUUGCUGUAUCAUUUCAAAAUAAUUUAUAGAAAUCCUACAAAACAGGAACCAACAAGUGUUGGCAAGAAUGUGGAGAAAGGGGAACCCUCUUGCACUGUUGGUGGGAAUGCAAGUUGAUACAGCCACUGUGGAAACAGUGUGGAGAUUCCUCAAGAAGUUAAAAAUAGAGCUACCUAUGACCCAGCAAGUGCACUACUAGGUAUUUACCCCAAGGAUACAGAUGUAGUGAAAAGAAGGGCCACAUGCACCCCAAUCAUCAUAGCAGCAAUGUCCACAAGAGCCAAACUGUGGAAGGAGCUGAGAUGCCCUUCAACAGAAUGGGUAAAGAAGAUGUGGUCCAUAUACACAAUGGAAUAUUAUUCAGCCAUCCGAAAAGAUGAAUAUCCACCCUUUGCAUCAACAUGGAUGGAACUCAGGAUUAUGUUAAGUGAAGAUUCCAAGCUGUAGGUGAAGGGGAGAGACAAAAGUGCCUGUUGGGAGGAAAGAAAUGAACAUCGUAUUCUACUCCUCCAGCCUGAAGGCCUGGCAGCGAGAGAAGAGCCAGGGCCCCCCGGAGACACUGGUGCACAUGAACACUAGGAGAAAAGACCUAAACUGGGCCCAGGCUGGAAGAUACCUCUUGAAGCAUUGUCCCAGGGAAGCUGUAUGCAAGGUCACAAUGACAGAGCUCUGACGGAAGGACUUGGGGCUGUACCAAAAAUGGCACUGGCCAAAAGAACCAACCAAGGCAAUCUGGAUCCAAUGUGAGUUGUGUCCGGGCAAGGGUUGUUCCAUAAAGACCAAAGAAAAAAGGGCAAGGGCUUAGCUGAGGCCCUCAGCUCAGGGCCCACCUGUGAACUCCAGGGAGCCAGGCCGACCACAUGGAAGACUUUACUCUGCUCCAGGUGGGCCAAGGGAGUCCUGAAUCUUAGCAGACAGAAUGACCUUUGCUUUUGUUUCUAUCCUGAAGCCCCAGUGCAAGGGUUGAAUGUUACUACUUCAAGGCAGCAAAAGUCCCAUCUACCAGCCACAGAGGAAAGGAGCUGGGAACAUGCAGGCGUAUCAUACCCCUGACAAUGGGGCACCGCUUAGAAAAUGGGAUGGAAAAUGGAAAUGGAAAUUUAGGAAAAUGGAAUCUGAGAAUCAGCAGCCUCUUCCUCAGAGUUGAAGGAAUGGGAUCAACAGAAGUCCAUCCCUACGCAGAACUGUUGGGGAAUGAGAGUCAUGGGCCCGCUGCUGCUGGUGAUUGUUCUGAUAUACGAAUCCAUCCUGAACAAGGGCCUUGUGGGUUCUUGGUCUUGUUUAUCUCUCUCCAUAAAGCCUGGGGCUCAGGUAAGUGGGGGCCAGGGACAGGCUUGGGUGGAAAGGAAUGAGGGUGGAAAGGAAAGAAGGUGGUACCUGCAGAUGUGGGUUUAGAGGAAUCAGCUCCCAGGGGUUCCCCAGAGCCUGUUUCCGUCUUUCCUCACUUCUGUGCUCAGAAGUCUUUGGAGAGGAGGCCCACCCCUGGGAAUGAUGUGAAGGGGGCUGGGCUGGCUCCUUGGGAUGCGUGGGAGGGGCAGGAUGAGGAUUUUCGUUACUGGGAACCCAGUCUUUUCUUCAGAGGAGGGAGGAAGACGCAGGCCUGAGCUGGCUUGAAUGCGUCAUUUUCUUUUCUUUUCUUUUUUUCUAAAGAUUUUAUUUAUUUACUUAAGAGAGAGAUAGUGAGAGAGAGCAUGAACGAGGAGAAGGUCAGAGAGAGAAGCAGCCUCCCCAUGGAGCUGGGAGUCCGAUGCGGGACUUGAUCCCGGGACUCCAGGAUCAUGACCUGAGCCGAAGGCAGUCGUCCAACCAACUGAGCCACCCAGGCGUCCCGAAUGCGUCAUUUUCAAAUAUCGUUCAUUUCUUUUCUUUUCUUUUCUUUUUUAAACUUUCUUUUUAAAAUUUAUUUUCUUAUUUUUUAAAGAUUUUAUUAUUUAUUUAUUUAUUUGACAGAGAGAGAGAGAGAAAGACCACAUGUAGGCAGAGCGGCAGGCGGGGGGUGGGGGUGGGGGAAGCAAGCUUCCCCCUGAGCAGAGAGCCCGAUGCAGGGCUUGAUCCUAGGACCCUGGGACCAUGACCUGAGCCAAAGGCAGAGGCUUUAACCCACUGAGUCACCCAGGCACCCCAAUAUUAUUCAUUUCUGUUACUCCUCAGGUAAGGCAGGCUCCUGAGGUGUCCCCAAGGCACAGCAAACCCAGGAAAGCAGACAACCUUCCAAGAGCAGAUGGGCAUGCCUUCUUCCACUAACAAAUAUCACAUUCCACUCUGUUCAGUGGUAAAUAAGAGGUUUCCUGAACUUCUUUGUGAGGUCUCUUAUCCAGAGGGAGAAGAGCAAUAACGGGAGGGUGGAGUGUAGAGGGCUGGCUGCAAAAAAUCCCACGGGGAGUCAUCAGGGCCAAGGGAACGGCAAUCGAUUUCUGUGCUGGGACUCAAUAUUGGGACUCACAAAGUGUAGUUCAGAUGAACCUUACGUUUGUUCUCUUAUUGCCAUCUAGACUCGCUCUGCUGGGGAUCUUGCUGGCCCCCCGGUAAAACGUGCAGGAAGACCCAUCACACUUCAGGUCAUUUUUUUUAAAAACAAACUUUACUUUUGAGAGCAGUUUCAGGUACACAGCAAAACUGAGAAGACGGUAUCGAAUUCCCCUGUUCCACCUGUCCCACCACGUGCACGGCCUCUCCCUCUAUGAACAGUUCUCAGCCUGCAGUCAGACACCAGUCUGCUGCAUCUCUCAAGUGCCAAAGACAUUUAAGCUCUCCAAGUUGUGACCUUGAACCCCUUUCCCUGGUCUUGAGGUAAAGAGGAGACAUCCACUCCCCUCUACCUGCAGGGUCAUAAUAUAUCCAAAAUGUCUUGGUGUGGGUGAGGUUUGGAUACCUUUUUGCAUGGGUUGCAUGCUGGUGUUCCCCCCUCACUCUGGAAUAUGGCAUCUAUUUUCUUGGGACUUGUGUUAGUUGCAGAUAGCUAAAUUCAAUCUGCCUAUUUUAUGUAGGAAGGGAUUUUUCAAAACCCAGAAGAGUAAGCCACUGGGAAUGACUCUCACAGCUACCCUGCAGGGCGGGGAUGCUAAGGGAGCCCCUGCUCUUGUCGCAGUCAGGACCCUGAAGAAUCAGAAAACUUCCCAAGUAGGACGCAGCCAGCCUAGCUUCUGGGUCCAGCCUGAUCCCACCUCAGCCACCAUUCGCGGUAGCAAAAAUGGUUGCCUUUCUUCCAAACUUAAGUCUUGCACAUAUGCAUUUGACUGGUGGGGUCUAAAUUCUAUCUGGAACCCCGGCUGCCAGAAAGUCUGAGAAAAGAUUGUGCAGACCUUUUAUUGUGCAGAAAGGUCCAUGGGAAGAAGGGAGGAAUGGUCCACAGCCUCUGUCCCCAAAAAUCUCAGCCAAAACUGAGAUGAAAGCAGUUCAAAUUUGAAAAGUCUUUUUUUUUUUUUGUCAGUGAAAGACAAUUACAAACAUAUAUUCGUUGUUGUGUUAUGACAAAU
Molecule: long non-coding RNA, 4822 nt
Organism: Mustela lutreola (European mink)
Lineage: Eukaryota; Metazoa; Chordata; Mammalia; Carnivora; Mustelidae
Exons: 4
Source: RefSeq, a predicted model, not a curated record